UACGGAGGGGGCAAGCGUUAUUCGGAAUUAUUGGGCGUAAAGGGCGCGUAGGCGGCUAGAUGUGUCAAAGGUGAAAUCCCUCGGCUCAACUGAGGAACUGCCUUUGAAACUGUCUGGCUUGAGGCCGGGAGAGGGUAGCGGAAUUCCCAGUGUAGCGGUGAAAUGCGUAGAUAUUGGGAGGAACACCAGUGGCGAAGGCAGCCCCCUGGGAUAACACUGACGCUCAUGCACGAAAGCGUGGGGAGCAAACAGG
RNAcentral lists this ribosomal RNA (253 nucleotides) under uncultured bacterium. RNAcentral describes it as "partial 16S ribosomal RNA". It matches the Rfam family "Bacterial small subunit ribosomal RNA", at positions 524 to 776 of the family's 1533-position model. The record is from RNAcentral.